GCAGUGGCAUGCUUGACAGUGAUUCUUUCCUGGGAUUUGGGAGCUUAUCAGAAUCUCCAGGGGUACUUUAUAAUUUAAAAAUGUCCCCCAGGUGUGAUUCUGAUUUGCUUCCUUCUCCUCCCACUCUGACAAUCACUGUUUCAUUAGAAGCCUCAGC
RNAcentral lists this microRNA precursor (157 nucleotides) under Callithrix jacchus (white-tufted-ear marmoset). Its description in RNAcentral is "microRNA cja-mir-361 precursor". Its record names the gene cja-mir-361. The stretch from base 40 to 111 matches the Rfam family "mir-361 microRNA precursor family". The record is from miRBase by way of RNAcentral. Lineage: Eukaryota; Metazoa; Chordata; Mammalia; Primates; Cebidae.